UCUCCAGACUCCUACGGGAGGCAGCAGUGAGGGAUAUUGGGCAAUGGGGGAAACCCUGACCCAGCGACGCCGCGUGAGGGAAGACGGUCUUCGGAUUGUAAACCUCUGUCUUUGGGGACGAAAAAGGACGGUACCCAAGGAGGAAGCUCCGGCUAACUACGUGCCAGCAGCCGCGGUAAUACGUAGGGAGCGAGCGUUGUCCGGAAUUACUGGGUGUAAAGGGAGCGUAGGCGGGAUUGCAAGUUGGAUGUGGAAACUGCGGGCUCAACCCGGAGCGUGCAUUCAAAACUGCGAUUCUUGAGUGAAGUAGAGGCAAGCGGAAUUCCUAGUGUAGCGGUGAAAUGCGUAGAUAUCAGGAGGAACACCGGUGGCGAAGGCGGCCCGCUGGACUGCAACUGACGUUGAGGCCCGAAAGCGUGGGGAGCAAACAGGAUUAGAUACCCCGGUACC
RNAcentral lists this ribosomal RNA (450 nucleotides) under uncultured bacterium. Its description in RNAcentral is "partial 16S ribosomal RNA". It matches the Rfam family "Bacterial small subunit ribosomal RNA", at positions 328 to 794 of the family's 1533-position model. The record is from RNAcentral.